CAAAGAAUUUCACAUGUUACCAGCUAUCUACUUUUACAAACUUGGUAGGGUUUUCCUGAUGUUGAUCUCUAAGCUUUUAAAAAGCCAUCAUCAGUUAGCUGAAGAAUUCCUGCAAACUACAGUUUAAAACUUCUGAAAAGUGGUUUUGUUCUCCUGAAGUAGAGAUCUCUUUCACUAUCACUUACAGAGUCUAUAAUUAUGACAUUUUGCUUUCUCACAGGUAUUUGGUAGACACAAUUUUUACUUCUGUUCUCAUCCCUGGGCCUCCUGGCACAGAUGUUACCUUACCAUGGCUGAUGCAAAUAUGGGAGAUGGCUGGAAAACACGGAGUGCCUGGUAAUGCCGGUGGGAUAGCACAGGAAGGACCACAGCCUUCUGCAGGGAGACAUGCCAAAGGAAUCACAGCCAGCACGCUGCAAUUCGUGUGGCUUCCUAAAACAUGAAGGUGAGUUGAUUACAGCAGGGAGGUGAAGAUAGGAACUAUUUGUGCACUUCACUCUGCCCCUUUGCCAGAGGUUACCACCUUCACACUGCUUCUCACAACUCUCUAACAGCACCUAGCAUCACAGGGCAAGUUCUCCUUCGCUGGUAGCAUGAACAAGCCCUCGGAUUUUGCAUUUCAGCUGCUUCAGAGGAAGUACAACCUUCCUCCUGUCGAUUUUGCUCCAAGUGCAAUAACAUGGCAGUAGAGACAUCUGAGGCGGUAACUUUCCAGGCUAAGCCUGUAAGAGUUUGUCGUUUUAACUAUUUGGAAUUAUAUCUGUUGGCCGAAAGAAUUUCAAGCACUGUCUAGAAAAUAAAAGCAAGCAUCAUCUUUGUAGCA
Molecule: long non-coding RNA, 823 nt
Filed under: Numida meleagris (helmeted guineafowl)
Lineage: Eukaryota; Metazoa; Chordata; Aves; Galliformes; Numididae
Description: lncRNA (ENSNMEG00000010474.1)
Source: RNAcentral